CUCUUGACAUCCAGAGAAUUUAGCAGAGAUGCUUUAGUGCCUUCGGGAACUCUGAGACAGGUGCUGCAUGGCUGUCGUCAGCUCGUGUUGUGAAAUGUUGGGUUAAGUCCCGCAACGAGCGCAACCCUUAUCCCUUUGUUGCCAGCACGUAAUGGUGGGAACUCAAAGGAGACUGCCGGUGAUAAACCGGAGGAAGGUGGGGAUGACGUCAAGUCAUCAUGGCCCUUACGAGUAGGGCUACACACGUGCUACAAUGGCGUAUACAAAGAGAAGCGACCUCGCGAGAGCAAGCGGACCUCAUAAAGUGCGUCGUAGUCCGGAUUGGAGUCUGCAACUCGACUCCAUGAAGUCGGAAUCGCUAGUAAUCGUAAAUCAGAAUGUUACGGUGAAUACGUUCCCGGGCCUUGUACACACCGCCCGUCACACCGUGGGAGUGGGUUGCAAAAGAAGUAGAUAGCUUAACCUUCGGGAGGGCGUUUACCACUUUGUGAUUCAUGACUGGGGUGAAGUCGUAACAAGGUAAGCGUAGUGCU
RNAcentral lists this ribosomal RNA (533 nucleotides) under uncultured bacterium. RNAcentral's name for it is "bacterial SSU rRNA". It matches the Rfam family "Bacterial small subunit ribosomal RNA", at positions 978 to 1509 of the family's 1533-position model. The record is from RNAcentral.